RNAcentral lists this ribosomal RNA (253 nucleotides) under uncultured bacterium. RNAcentral describes it as "partial 16S ribosomal RNA". It matches the Rfam family "Bacterial small subunit ribosomal RNA", at positions 524 to 776 of the family's 1533-position model. The record is from RNAcentral.
UACGGAGGGGGCUAGCGUUGUUCGGAAUUACUGGGCGUAAAGGGCGCGUAGGCGGCCUGUUAAGUCGAACGUGAAAUCCCCGGGCUCAACCCGGGAACUGCGUCCGAUACUGGCAGGCUUGAAUUCGGGAGAGGGAUGCGGAAUUCCAGGUGUAGCGGUGAAAUGCGUAGAUAUCUGGAGGAACACCGGUGGCGAAGGCGGCAUCCUGGACCGAGAUUGACGCUGAUGCGCGAAAGCCAGGGGAGCAAACGGG